CAUUUAAUGGGGGUGGAAUAUUAAUGUCUUUUUAUUAUCGAAAUAUAAAAUUUUAUUUUUCAUAAAAGUCUGUUGCUUAUUUAAACUUAUAUUAAAGCUGUGGGUAUGCCAUUAUAAUUUAUCAUUUCUUAUUUUCAAUUACAGAUGUUAUAAAACUGUGCAGCAUGCCGACAGUGGGAGAGAUCGAAUGUGAAUGGGUGAAUAAGUAACAUCUGUCAAUUAACAGCACACUGUCGCUGAACAUCAGCACACCUAAUGAUGUUGUGAGCACAAUUCGCAACAAUACGGAAAAUAACUGCUUACAGAGGCUACGCUUAUUUUGCAUAGGGACAAAUGGAAAUGAAAGGAAUGCGUACAUGACUUUGCUGGAAAGGACAAAUAUAUGUAUACAUAUGUAUAUGAAUAUAUGCACGAAAUUGUUGCUCGAAAAUAAUGUGAAGUGCUGCCUGGAUGCCUGCGCUAAAACUUCUGAUCGAUCACCUAACAUUAUGACGAUUUAUUUAUUAUGGGCGAUUAGUACCAAUGAGUGGAAGCACGCAAAUGUGAAUAUUUACCAGCGCACUACAGUCGCAUAUGGAAUACCUACAAAAGUGAAAGGGAGCUGUAAACCUUUGUCUGAUAUCAGAAACUCCAAAAAUGCAAGGAAGCUGUAAACUUCUGCCCGAUUUUGGUGCCUCCAAUAAUGAAUGGAAGUUGUAAAUCUUGGACAGAUUUCUGUUGGUAUGAUCGGUCUAUAUUGUUUAAGAUUUAUACAUAAUCUUAGGGACGAGACGAAAUAAAAUUAGCAUUGUGGUGUUAUAGCUCGCAAGCUGACUCCCGUCGAACCGCUUUAUGAUCGAUCACCUGGUCCAAAAUACGAGACAAGCUGUUAAAUGGGAGCGCAUAUGGAAUGAAGUUAUUUAUUGAUCUAAUGAUAAUAUGAUACGUACAUAUGUAUGAACAUACAUAGAUGAUAGUACUUAAGAGGCAAUAAAAUCAUUUUAAGUGGCUAAUAUAUCUAAUAAAAAUCUAUAAAGUCUGUAUUAAUUUCAUUUUUCUUCUAUAAUUAGUGAAAAUCUAAUAAAUUGGUAAGUUGCAAGAUAAUGUCUAGAUUCUAAAUUAAACAUUUAAGAGUGUAUUAGUUUAGAGCCGAAUUUUAUUUUUUCAUCUACGGGAUCCCACAUAUUUUCUAAAUAAUCUGGCGCCAGCCUUGCACCAGGAAAACAGAAAAUAUAGCAAGGAGCCUAUUACACCGGCAACUCAAAGUGUUUGUUGUUGCUAAUUUUUCGUAAAUAUGGGCGAACUGAGUGCUCAUUCUAAACUUGUACUCAAUACAACAACUUCAAAAGGUAUUUGACUAACGGGGCAUAAUUACUACACCUUUGAGAGACGUAGAAAAUUGAAACACAUAAUUUGUUGUUGCCAUUAUGGAAAUGCGUUUGCAUAAGAAUUACACAAGAAAUAGCAAUAAAAUAGAACACUUGCUGAUCGUUAUGAGCGACUGGUGAUUUGUUGAGAAAAUAAUAUUUGAUGUGUGGCGU
Long non-coding RNA from Bactrocera dorsalis (oriental fruit fly), 1520 nucleotides. RefSeq lists it as uncharacterized. The record is from RefSeq and is a predicted model, not a curated record. The transcript is spliced from 3 exons. NCBI's taxonomy places the organism in Eukaryota, Metazoa, Arthropoda, Insecta, Diptera, Tephritidae.